UAUAACUAGGGGAGCGUUAAGAGCUGAGAUUGGAGUAUUCCUAAACCCUUAUGACCUGAUUUGGUUAGAACCAACGUAGGGAAGUACAAAAUUAA
This 95-nucleotide non-coding RNA is filed under the name uncultured Clostridium sp. Its description in RNAcentral is "TPP riboswitch (THI element)". The stretch from base 5 to 85 matches the Rfam family "TPP riboswitch aptamer (THI element)", at positions 8 to 91 of the family's 105-position model. Rfam says of the family: Vitamin B(1) in its active form thiamin pyrophosphate (TPP) is an essential coenzyme that is synthesised by coupling of pyrimidine and thiazole moieties in bacteria. The previously detected thiamin-regulatory element, thi box was extended, resulting in a new, highly conserved RNA secondary structure, the THI element, which is widely distributed in eubacteria and also occurs in some archaea. The record is from RNAcentral. Lineage: Bacteria; Bacillati; Bacillota; Clostridia; Eubacteriales; Clostridiaceae.